Molecule: transfer-messenger RNA, 353 nt
Filed under: Luteimonas granuli
Lineage: Bacteria; Pseudomonadati; Pseudomonadota; Gammaproteobacteria; Lysobacterales; Lysobacteraceae
Rfam family: transfer-messenger RNA
About the family: Bacterial tmRNA, also known as 10Sa RNA or SsrA, is named for its dual tRNA and mRNA-like properties. Its role is to liberate the mRNA from a stalled ribosome.
Source: Rfam by way of RNAcentral
GAGGUGUACUGGGCUUCGACGGGGGUUGCGAAAUCGCCUGGCGCAUGCCGAGGGGCAGCUUCUCCUCGUAAAUCCAGCGGCAAACACAUUAGUCGCCAACGACGACAACUACGCUCUCGCCGCUUAAGGCGUAAGCCCCGAACCCACUUGUGCCCGUGCUCGUGGAUGUAGGGUCACUAUUACGGGGAACCAGCCCGCGCGGCCGCCUGUCUGCCGUGGUUGAACUCACAGGCUGGUUCCCGGUGCGCUUCGCACACCGUGCUGCCGGGGAACGAGACACAACGGUGGGCUAAGCAUGUAGUGCCGGGGAUGGAGUGCCUUCGGACGCGGGUUCAACUCCCGCCACCCCACCA